RNAcentral lists this ribosomal RNA (480 nucleotides) under uncultured organism. RNAcentral's name for it is "bacterial SSU rRNA". It matches the Rfam family "Bacterial small subunit ribosomal RNA", at positions 28 to 507 of the family's 1533-position model. The record is from RNAcentral.
GAUGAACGCUGGCGGCGUGCUUAACACAUGCAAGUCGAACGAAGCAUGUGGACGGAGCUCUUCGGAGCGAAGUUCAUAUGACUUAGUGGCGGACGGGUGAGUAACGCGUGGGUAACCUGCCUUAUACAGGGGGAUAACAGCCGGAAACGGCUGCUAAUACCGCAUAAGCGCACAGUGCUGCAUGGCACAGUGUGAAAAGAUUUUAUCGGUAUAAGAUGGACCCGCGUCUGAUUAGCUAGUUGGUGGGGUAACAGCCUACCAAGGCGACGAUCAGUAGCCGGCUUGAGAGAGUGACCGGCCACAUUGGGACUGAGACACGGCCCAGACUCCUGCGGGAGGCAGCAGUGGGGAAUAUUGCACAAUGGGGGAAACCCUGAUGCAGCGACGCCGCGUGAGUGAUGAAGGUUUUCGGAUCGUAAAGCUCUAUCAGCAGGGAAGAUAAUGACGGUACCUGACUAAGAAGCCCCGGCUAACUACGUG